RNAcentral lists this long non-coding RNA (8131 nucleotides) under Homo sapiens (human). RNAcentral describes it as "HSALNT0144456". Lineage: Eukaryota; Metazoa; Chordata; Mammalia; Primates; Hominidae. The record is from RNAcentral.
UUGACAAUUAGUUUAUUAGAGCAAAAGUACAGUUUAAAAUCAGUACAGUUUUAAAAGGCAGAUAGGAAAGAGUUCAGAAGAGAGCAGGACAGGCUUCCAGUUGUCCCAUCUGACAGGAGAUGCAUGCACAGCACUUAAUCCUCUCUGAAUGAGUGUGGGUCAUUUAUGAAAUAUUAUCAACCAGGGAAGCUGAGACUUGGUGUCCAAGGUUUUUAUUGGGUGUUAGUCACAUAGGCAUGGAGAACAGAAAUGGCAGAUGUUAUUCAGUUUCCACCUCCCCCGGCGAUUAAAUUGAUACUGCAAGGUGCAAUGCCCUCACCAUAAAUCUGUAGCAUAAACUAUCUGGUGUGAUCCAAGGCCCCAGGUAAACAAAGGCCUUGCAUCAGGCAGGAUAUUCCAGGGGCUUAGCGCUGUGAUCUCCCAGGAGCAAGUUGAGGGCUAGACCUUUCUUUGAAAGGUGCAGGUUUCAACACGCCAGAUCUAUUAAGUCACUCCUUUCAUACACACGUUAAAAACGUUCUUAGUUCAUGGGCCAGGGAGUAGAUGUGACUGGAGACUCUAGUGCUAAGUGUCUUUUAAGUUACCUUUUUCUUCCUGCUAUUUCAAUAACUGCUGUAAGAAACAUCCUUGUACAUUUUUCAUUGUAUACAUAUGCCAUAUAUUAAUGACAAAGUUAUGUUCUUUCAGAAGUAUGUAAAAUUGGAAAUAUAUAAAAUAUGCGAUUCUCUUUAAAAGCAAAUCAGUCUCUAAUGCUAAUCACUAGAACCCCAAAAUUAUUAAUAAAUUUCAGUCUUUCUUAGUAAGAAAACUGAAUUUACAAUCUAGCGAACAUAAAAAUUUUGUAUAGAUACUAGAUUUAAGCAAAGAUCUCAAGAAAUAUUCGAGUAUCAUAUGUAUUCUGUCAUAAGCAAUAAACUGCUGUUGCUUUUCUGCCAUUUCAUAUAAAAAGAAAGGACCUUUUUAGUCUAAUUGUUUUAUCAUACAUAUGUUCUCCUAAUCUGAACUGUAACCUCUGUGUGAAUAUUGACGUUAUGAAAAAAAAAGCUUUACUUGUCAAAAUAUGACCAAUAUAGGAGACUGGUAGUUCAUAAACUGCAUUUAUUAGUAUCUUUAAAUGUAGAUAAAUUUAACAAAAUACUGUAGUUUUUUUUCCCUCUCUAAAUCUAAGGUUCUCUUUUACAACACAUCAAUGUGAUUUCCAGUUUUUGAAAAAAGCAAUUCAGUCUUCUCCCAGCAACAAAUGCCUACAAGCUUUAAGUGUUCUGACAAUUUCUGUACCUAAAUAUGAUGCAAAACUUUAGUCUUAUAAAAAGACAGAUGUUGAACUGCUGUUAUAAGCAAUAUGUAAUUUCAACUUUACUAAAGUAUGAAUUAUUUUCUCAACAUGUUUGCCAAUCCCUGAUAUUAUCUGACUGGAUGUGAAAUGGUAUCUAACUGUGCUGACUGGCAUUUCCUUGACUCCUAGUGAGCUAAAACAUUUUUCUGUUAAUUGACCUUUUGGUUCUCUCUCAUAUAUCACUCAUUUAUUCCCCCCUUAAGUAGUCCUUUAUGUAAUUUGGACACUUCCUUUGUCAGUUCCUGGUAGAUAAUUGCAAGGUAAGUACCUUCCACGUCUGUGGCUGGCCCUCUAAUAUUCAGUGUCUUUUGUCAUACUUAAGUUUCUAGUUUUAAUAUAGUCAGAUGUGUGACUCUUUUUCUUCAUGGUUCCCACUUUGAGUCACAUCCAACAACUCCUUCCUUACAUUGGUUCAAAUUUUCCUGUAUUACCUUCUAAAAUAUUUAAAAUGGUAUUCCCGCCCCCUCCCCCCUCCGCCACAUUUAGGUCUUUAAUCUACCAGUUUUUAAAAAUAUGGUGUGAGAAGGGUAUAUAAUUUUUUCACAUACAGACAUGCAAUUGUCCUAGUGCCAUUUAUUGAAAAGUUACUAAUUUCUCCACUGUGUCACGUAUCAAGUUCUCAUGUAUCUGUUUCUGUACCAUAGAUUUACAUGUCUAUCCUGGCAUCACAAGGGCUGUGUUAUCACUAUAGUUUUAUAAGCCCUACUGUCUUUUAUGAUAGGUACUCCCCUAUUUUUCCUGUUUAAAAAAAAAAAAUCUCAGCUUUGUCUUUCCACAUUCAGGUUAGGUUGAUUAAAUUCCAUAAAAAGUUUUGUUGAGAAUUUGAUUGGAACUUCAGUGAAUUUAUAGAUUUGGAGAGAACUGGUACUUUAAUGCACUGAUUUUUCCCAUUCUCUAACAUAGAAUACUGCUCCAUUCAUUUUAGUCUACUUCUACAAAAUCUUGCAUAUUUUUAUUGGAUGUAUUAUUAGGUCCCCUUAGAGUUUUAAUUGUGAAUGAAAUUCUUUCAAAUAAUACACUUUCAAACACACUGAAGUGGAAAAGAACACUACUAAUUCUUGCAGAUUGCUCUUAUAUCCAAAAUCUCUCAACACUCACAUUAGUUUUGCUACUUUGUAGUUUUCCUUGGACUUUCAAAUAAACAAUGAUCUUGCCCAUUAACAAUAAUUGAUUCUCUCUUUCCAGUCUUUAUGCCUAUUAUUUAUUCUUCUAGUCUCACUGCACUGGCCAAGAUCUCCAGUGCAACAUGGAACAGAUGUAUUAAUACAAUAUCCCAUUCCUGUACUAUUGCUGACAUUAAGGAACAUCUCUAAAGUUGUACCAUUAACUUGUAACAAUAACUAUGGGUUUUGGUAAGCUAUCAUUUAUCGUACUAAUACGUUUAUUCAUCUAUUAAGAGGAUGUUUUAUUUUUAAAAUCCUAAGUGAAUAUAACUUGCAUUUUGCUGGUUCUCCCCCUCCAACUCCCUGCAUUCACUGAGAUAGUAACAUGCCUUUUCUCUUUAACCUAUUAACAUGGUAUAUACUAUGUGAAAAGAUUUUACAGUGUUAAAUCAUUCUCCCAUAUGGAAAUAAUCCUUACUUGGUCACAAUGAAUGUAUUUUAAUAAAUCAUCCAGAGCUUGUGCAUUAUUCAGAGUAGAUUUUAAAAAACAGAUUGAGACUUAUUUACUAAUACAUAUUUGGCAACACUAAUCAAAAAAUAUCUAAAAUUUCAAAUUUAUUCACAUAAAUUCACAAUCACUUUCUAAAUCAAAUAAUUUUAAUUUUAUCCGUUUUCAUGCCUUAUUUCUUUCCUGAUAUCAAGCUUUUUUUUUUUUUUUUUAAUUUUAGACAGGCAGGGUCUUGCUCUGUUGCCCAGGCUGGAGUGUAGUGACACAAUUAUAGUUCACUGCAGGCUCAAACUCCUGGGCUCAGAUGAUCCUCCUGCCCCAGCCUGCCAAGUAACUGGGACUACAAGUGCAUGCCACUGCACCCAGUUAAUUUUUAAAAUUUUUGUAGAGACAAGGUCUCACUAUGUUGCCCAGGCUAGUCUUGAACUCCUGGUCUUAAGCUAUCCUCAUGCCUCAGCCUCCCAGUGCUAGGAUUACAGGCAUGAGCCACUGUGUCUGGCUAAGUUAUCUUUUCUUAUUGAUUAAUUUUGCCAGGCGAGUGAUAACCUCUACCCUGAUUCUAUCACCACAAAUUAGUUUAAAAUGUUCCUUUAUGCUUUAUGUCCUUUAAAUAGUUGCCUACCCCAAAACAUGAAGACACUCUCCUGUUUCAUUAUUUCCUUUCGCAUUUAAACCAUAUUCCACAUGGAAUUGAUUUUUCUAUAUAUAUGGUAUCAAGGAAGGGGUCUACUUUUUUCCCCAAUACAGCUAUCUAAUUGACUGUACCAUUACAAUAGUUUCUCUUUCUCAUAAAUCACAGAUGACCUAAAUGUGUGGAUCACCACGUAUACAGAAUUCUGUUACUUUGUUCUAUUUUGUUCUAGUCUACUUUGCUCUAGUCUGUUACUUUGGUCUAUUUGUCUAUCCUUAUGCCAGCCAACAACAGUGUUAAUUACAACUACACUUUUAUAAUCACAGGUCUUAUGUCUGUUGGUGAACAUUUUUCAGUUUUAUUGCUCAAGUUUAUCUUGGAUAUUCUCGGUCCUUUGCAUUUCUUCAGUUUGUUAAUUUCUCCAACAUACUGUUGGGAUUUUGAUAAUAUCAUAUAUUGAAGUUACAGAUUAAUUUACAAAAUUGACUUCCAAGUCAUGAACAUGGUAUAUCCAUAUAUUUAGAAUUAAAAAAAAAAUGCUUAAAUGAUUGGAAAAUUUCUUGUAUUUAUUUUACACUAGUGUAAAUGGUAUCAUUUUAUCAAUUUCUAUUUGUUUCUGAUAUAUAGAAAUACAAUUUCUGUAUAGUUUGUAUUCAGUGACCUUGAUAAGUUAUUUUGUUUGUUGAGUCUUUUCAAAUUUCUAUGCACACAACCAGUUGUCUAUAAAUGGUAUUAUUUUCUUCUUUCUAAACGUUCUAUCUUUUUACUUCAGGCCUUACGUUAUUGGCUAAUAUCUCAAAUAUGUUAAACAGUAGAGGUUAUUAUUGUUUUUAGACUUCAAAGAACCAACAUUUUGGCUUUCUCUAUUGUGUGUUAUUUCACUGACUUUUUGUCUUUUAUUAUUUCGUUGCUCUUCUUUUUCCAGCUACUUGAAAAUAGUUUAGGUAAUUGACUUUCAGCCUUGCUUCUUUUCUAAUGUAUGCAUGUAAAUCUAUAAAUUUUCCUCCACGCACUGCUUCAGCUGCAACACACUUUUUGGUAUGUCAUAUUAUUCACUUGAAAAUAUUUUUAAAUUUGUUUUAUUCUUUGACCCAGGGACUAUCAAGAAAUCUAUUACAUAAUUUCAGAGUAGUUGCGGGUUUCUCUAAUCAUCUUUUUUACUGUUUUCUAGUUUAAUUCCACUGUGUUAGAGAAUGUAAGAUGAAUGCUUUUGAUCUUUUGAGAUUAUUGGUUUGCUUUAUGACUCAAAAUAGGGUAAAUUUUGAUAAAUUUACUUGAAGAAAAUGUGAAUUAUGUUUUUUAAAUCAAGUAUUCAUAUAUGUAAAGUUCAGAUCCUCUGCAUCUGAUUUUUUGGGGGUAGGGUCCGGAUAGUCUAUCAGCUAUGGAAAAAGCUGCAUAAGCCUCCAGCUAUGGUUAGACACUUACCUAUUUCUCUUCUUAUAUGUCAUUCGUGCUUUAUGUAUUUCAAAUCUGUUUUCAACACAUACAGAUUUAGGAUCUUUAUGUGUUUUGGGUGAAUUAAUUCCUUCAUCAUUAUAAAAUGUCCCUCUUUAUCUCUGGUAAUGCUUUUUGCCUUAAAUCUCAUUGCCUGACAAUACCACAUUCAAACUGUUUUUAUUUGGUUUGCUGUGUUUUUUUUUCCCUAUGCCAUUUACAUUCAACCUUUUUGUGUGGCCUUGUAUUUAAAGUAUGCCUCUUGUAAGCAACAUGUAGUAGGGAAUUUUCAGCCUGAUAAAUUUUUAAACUUAAUUCAACUAAUGACUCAUUUAAAGUAUUUGGGUUUCUAUUUUGCAACUUUAAAUUUGACCCAUUUGUUUUAUGUCCCUUUUCUAUUCUUGCCUUCUUUUAAAUGCUUUUGUCUCCAUUAAAUUGUUAGGUAUACAUUCUAUUAGCCUUUUAGUGCUUAAGAGAUUACAACAUGCACCCUUGUCUUCAUAGUCUAAAAAAAGUAAUCUUACCAUUUACCUACCUAAUGCUAGAACCUGAGGACAAACUCCAGUACAAACUUCUCCUGUCUCGUUAUUGUAGGUGCAUUUUAAUUCCACAGAUAUUUUAAACCACAGAAUACAGCCAAUAUUCCUUCAAAUUUACCCACAUAUUUACCAUUUCCAUUGCUCUUCAUUUAUUCCUGCAUUCCAGGAUUUCCCUUGGAAUGAUUUUGCUUCUGCCUGAAGAACUCUCUUCAACAUUUCUUUCAGUGUGUAUGUACUGAAGACAAAUUUCCAUUUUUCACUCAAAAGUCUUAAUUUUGCCAUCACAUUUGGAGUGGAUCUUUUGUUUCUUGCCCAUUCUUCCUUAUCUGGAAUGUGAGCACUACAGCCACCAUUUUUUGAUCUUGAAGACAAAUGCUACAUGGUAGAGAGUGGAUCAUAAAGAACAGAAAAAGCCUGGGGCCCUACUGAUCUUGUGGAGUUAUAGUACCGGACACCUGGACAGCCUACAUCUGAAAGAAAAGCAAAAGCACAACAGUUUAAGCCAAUGUUACAUUGGUUCUUUUUCUGGAAGCAAGUAUCAUUCCUGAUGUCUUUGGUCAACUCUGGAAAUUUCUUGGCCAUUUAUUGCUUCCAGUAUAGCUGUUGUCUGUAAUUUACAUGGAAAUACUCCAGUAUACACAGUGUGGUACACAUAACUUAUGUAAAGUCAUCGCUUAAGUCUUGCUACCAUCCUGAUAGAACAGUUCACUAGGAAGAUGAACUAGUGUUCUAAUCAGAGAAUGCAUACUCUAGUGGAAGCUAUUCUAGGUAUUGUUGACUGCAUCUUGAUCAACAUACAAUGUCUUAAUUUUCAUACUAAAUGGUAGAAAUUUUUAUUAGUGACCUGCUAAAGUAAUUUUUUAAAUGGGCCUCCGAUGGUGAGAUUAAAGGUUUUCAGACUGACUAAUAGCAGAGUAACACAUACCACCAUUGCAAGAAGAGGCCAUAAGAAUCCAGCAUGGCCUGUAGCCCUUAUAUUUUGGGAUGAUGUCCUAGUCUAACCCCCUAAAAGGCUCUUGUCCAGCCAUGAACACACCUUUUGUUAAAGUAAUAGAAUUCUGCUUCUUAAAGGAACCUUUCAGGCAAGAUGGUGGUUAGAGCACCUAAAUGGGCCAAGAGCAAUUUCCUUUAGCCUGCAGAACAUGCUAAGAUCAGUUUUCUUGCUCGGUUAAUAUAACAGAAGCUGGCAUGAAACUGUUUUCAUUAUAACGUAGCCGUUAGGGGGUAAUUUGGCAGCAGGAGUAUGCAUGAGAGAAGGAAGCUACCUGUCCCCCACGCCUCAAAAACUUCAGUGCGUACCAUUUCUCUACCAAGAGUUGUAUACUACACAUUCUGUUAGUUCACAACUGCCUCACACCUUCUGUUUUCUCCUUAAACUCCUAAAAUAUAUAUGUAUAUUGGAUCUUCCAUGAAUUACUUUCAAUUUUCUACCUCUUCUGUGCUGCAUUCUAGCUUAUUCCUUCUGUUUUAAAAUUUUCCUUCAGGCCAGGCAUGGUGGCUCAUGACUGUAAUCGUAACACUUUGGGAGGCCAAGGUGGGAGGAUCACUUGAGCCCAGGAGUUCGAGACCAGCUCGGGCAACACAGUGAGACUCCAUCUCUACAAAAAUUUUAAAAACUAGCCAGGCAAGGUGGUACAUGCCUGUGGUCCCACCUACUCGGGAGGCUUACAUGGGAGGAUCACUUGAGCCCAGGAAAUUGAGGCUGCAGUAAGCCAUGAUCAUGCCAUGCGAUAGAGCAAGACUCCAUCUCCAAAAAUAUAUAAUUUCUUCAAAUGCGUCUGAAUAUAUGCCAAUUCUUUCCCCUAAUGACUUUAAAAGAGGCCCCGAGAACACAUACUUCUGUACAUUUCAUUCAUUCCUUUAUUAAAGCCAGUAACUUAAUGUGCCUCACAUUUUUAAGCUAAGCAUGGAUAUUCUGAAAGCAAAACUGAAAUGUAAACUUCAACUCUUUCUCACAGACACCUUCCUCUUUCUCCACCCUAAAGUCUUGGCUUUGUGUAGGUCUCAGUCCCAGCUUCCCUGUAUAGUCAGGCCAUAUCUCUUGCUGUUAAAGUCUCAGGGUCCAUUGGUGAGACCCACAGCCAACACUAUCAUCCACCUAGGUCAGUGUACCUUCAGCUGCUGAGUUCACUAUUCUGGCUGUUUUUUCUUCACUUCUGGCAGCUGGGAUUUCCUUUUUCUUUUGUGGUUAGCUGUGUGUAUAUUUGUUGUUUUCUAUGACAUCUCUGUAAGUUUAGAGUUAUGGGAUUGUGGUGGUAGGAUAAUUUAUGUUAGUCAGAAUAAGUAACCUAUAUAGAAGUUCUUCACCCUUCCAGGAAAUCCUCCAAUCUAUGACAAAUGACUACUUAAAUUGCCAUAAAAGGUGAAUUGUAAGUACAAUAAUCCAAAUAAAACUUUGAUUUUGCUCAGUGACAAUAUGCCCAGCAAAAAAACUAUGUUUCUCAGCAUCUCUUACAGCUAAAAGAUAGCCAUGUUACGCAGUUGUGGCAAAUGAGACAUAAGCUGGGAGUUUCUGAAAAAGCUUUGUCUUUGUGAAAAAGGCAGCAAGACUCAGGGGUUAAAAAAAAAAUCUUGUUUAAG